Molecule: ribosomal RNA, 1503 nt
Filed under: Salmonella enterica subsp. enterica serovar Typhimurium
Lineage: Bacteria; Pseudomonadati; Pseudomonadota; Gammaproteobacteria; Enterobacterales; Enterobacteriaceae
Description: bacterial SSU rRNA
Rfam family: Bacterial small subunit ribosomal RNA
Source: RNAcentral
AGAGUUUGAUCCUGGCUCAGAUUGAACGCUGGCGGCAGGCCUAACACAUGCAAGUCGAACGGUAACAGGAAGCAGCUUGCUGCUUCGCUGACGAGUGGCGGACGGGUGAGUAAUGUCUGGGAAACUGCCUGAUGGAGGGGGAUAACUACUGGAAACGGUGGCUAAUACCGCAUAACGUCGCAAGACCAAAGAGGGGGACCUUCGGGCCUCUUGCCAUCAGAUGUGCCCAGAUGGGAUUAGCUAGUUGGUGAGGUAACGGCUCACCAAGGCGACGAUCCCUAGCUGGUCUGAGAGGAUGACCAGCCACACUGGAACUGAGACACGGUCCAGACUCCUACGGGAGGCAGCAGUGGGGAAUAUUGCACAAUGGGCGCAAGCCUGAUGCAGCCAUGCCGCGUGUAUGAAGAAGGCCUUCGGGUUGUAAAGUACUUUCAGCGGGGAGGAAGGUGUUGUGGUUAAUAACCGCAGCAAUUGACGUUACCCGCAGAAGAAGCACCGGCUAACUCCGUGCCAGCAGCCGCGGUAAUACGGAGGGUGCAAGCGUUAAUCGGAAUUACUGGGCGUAAAGCGCACGCAGGCGGUCUGUCAAGUCGGAUGUGAAAUCCCCGGGCUCAACCUGGGAACUGCAUUCGAAACUGGCAGGCUUGAGUCUUGUAGAGGGGGGUAGAAUUCCAGGUGUAGCGGUGAAAUGCGUAGAGAUCUGGAGGAAUACCGGUGGCGAAGGCGGCCCCCUGGACAAAGACUGACGCUCAGGUGCGAAAGCGUGGGGAGCAAACAGGAUUAGAUACCCUGGUAGUCCACGCCGUAAACGAUGUCUACUUGGAGGUUGUGCCCUUGAGGCGUGGCUUCCGGAGCUAACGCGUUAAGUAGACCGCCUGGGGAGUACGGCCGCAAGGUUAAAACUCAAAUGAAUUGACGGGGGCCCGCACAAGCGGUGGAGCAUGUGGUUUAAUUCGAUGCAACGCGAAGAACCUUACCUGGUCUUGACAUCCACAGAACUUUCCAGAGAUGGAUUGGUGCCUUCGGGAACUGUGAGACAGGUGCUGCAUGGCUGUCGUCAGCUCGUGUUGUGAAAUGUUGGGUUAAGUCCCGCAACGAGCGCAACCCUUAUCCUUUGUUGCCAGCGAUUAGGUCGGGAACUCAAAGGAGACUGCCAGUGAUAAACUGGAGGAAGGUGGGGAUGACGUCGAGUCAUCAUGGCCCUUACGACCAGGGCUACACACGUGCUACAAUGGCGCAUACAAAGAGAAGCGACCUCGCGAGAGCAAGCGGACCUCAUAAAGUGCGUCGUAGUCCGGAUUGGAGUCUGCAACUCGACUCCAUGAAGUCGGAAUCGCUAGUAAUCGUGGAUCAGAAUGCCACGGUGAAUACGUUCCCGGGCCUUGUACACACCGCCCGUCACACCAUGGGAGUGGGUUGCAAAAGAAGUAGGUAGCUUAACCUUCGGGAGGGCGCUUACCACUUUGUGAUUCAUGACUGGGGUGAAGUCGUAACAAGGUAGCC